Molecule: transfer RNA, 70 nt
Filed under: Solirubrobacter deserti
Lineage: Bacteria; Bacillati; Actinomycetota; Thermoleophilia; Solirubrobacterales; Solirubrobacteraceae
Description: tRNA-Thr
Source: RNAcentral
AACUGUGUUUGCGAACGGCAGGCACUUGCGCCUUGUAAGCGGUGGGUCGUCGGUUCGAAUCCGAUCUCCG